AGGGUUUGAUUAUGGCUCAGGAUGAACGCUGGCGGCGUGCUUAACACAUGCAAGUCGAACGGGAAACCUUUUAUUGAAGCUUCGGCAGAUUUAGCUGGUUUCUAGUGGCGGACGGGUGAGUAACGCGUGGGUAACCUGCCCUAUACAGGGGGAUAACAACCAGAAAUGGUUGCUAAUACCGCAUAAGCGCACAGGACCGCAUGGUCCGGUGUGAAAAACUCCGGUGGUAUAGGAUGGACCCGCGUUGGAUUAGCCAGUUGGCAGGGUAACGGCCUACCAAAGCGACGAUCCAUAGCCGGCCUGAGAGGGUGAACGGCCACAUUGGGACUGAGACACGGCCCAG
RNAcentral lists this ribosomal RNA (343 nucleotides) under uncultured bacterium. Its description in RNAcentral is "bacterial SSU rRNA". It matches the Rfam family "Bacterial small subunit ribosomal RNA", at positions 8 to 334 of the family's 1533-position model. The record is from RNAcentral.